Engraulis encrasicolus (European anchovy) is the source of this 600-nucleotide long non-coding RNA. RefSeq lists it as uncharacterized. The record is from RefSeq and is a predicted model, not a curated record. Lineage: Eukaryota; Metazoa; Chordata; Actinopteri; Clupeiformes; Engraulidae. The transcript has 3 exons.
GAGAAAAGGCAGGCGUCAAGGAAUGGGGCUGGGGGAAAACGCUGUUUUGAUUUUUUCGAAGAAAUGGACCAGCUAGCUACUGGGUGCCAGGCCGGUCGUGGUUGCGAGGUCCUCUGCUGUUGACAGCACCGUUCCCCCUGAUGACCAAUCUGGUGUGGAAGACGAGAAAGAGGAUGAAGGGGAUGAUGAGGAAGAAGAGGGUGCUGAAGACUACAGUGGACAAGUGACCAUGGAGGAUUCAGAGCCCCCAGGCCCCACCCCAGCUGCAGCAGGAGGUAGUCGCCUGUUUCGCAGGCCACUGAAGAAAAAGUCUUUACUAGCUGCAUAGAGUCAGCAGCUGUCGGACUUACUGAAAAGUCAAGAGGCAGGAGGAGGAAGAUGGAGAGAUGCUAACUUCUCUGAGAAAGUCCGUCAAGCGCCAGUUUGGAGCAUCAGAAUAACCCGUCCAUUGCCUCUUCAAGCAGCCAAGUGGCCUUACCAUUUAAUGUUAUUUAAUAUUUAAUACUACUUAUGAAUAUUUAUUAAAUGCAUUUUUGUGAAAAAUGCCCAUGUUUGUUUGUUUCACUUGUUGUGAAUUCUGUGGUCUUUCACAAAUGCAUG